RNAcentral lists this ribosomal RNA (301 nucleotides) under uncultured bacterium. RNAcentral's name for it is "partial 16S ribosomal RNA". It matches the Rfam family "Bacterial small subunit ribosomal RNA", at positions 509 to 807 of the family's 1533-position model. The record is from RNAcentral.
CAGUCGCCGCGGUAAUACGAAGGUCCCGAGCGUUGUUCGGAGUCACUGGGCGUAAAGGGAGCGUAGGCGGCGUGGUAAGUCGGAUGUGAAAUCCCGGGGCCCAACCCCGGAACUGCAUCCGAUGCUGCCAUGCUAGAGGAUUGGAGAGGUAGCUGGAAUUCUUGGUGUAGCAGUGAAAUGCGUGGAGAUCAAGAGGAACACUCGUGGCGAAAGCGAGCUACUGGACAAUAACUGACGCUGAGGCUCGAAGGCCAGGGUAGCGAAAGGGAUUAGAUACCCCAGUAGUCCCUGUCUCUUAUAC